This 110-nucleotide ribosomal RNA is filed under the name Escherichia coli. RNAcentral's name for it is "partial 23S ribosomal RNA". It matches the Rfam family "Bacterial large subunit ribosomal RNA", at positions 2813 to 2925 of the family's 2925-position model. RNAcentral also lists the same sequence under 7 other names. The record is from RNAcentral. Lineage: Bacteria; Pseudomonadati; Pseudomonadota; Gammaproteobacteria; Enterobacterales; Enterobacteriaceae.
CUUAGAGUCUCCUGAAGGAACGUUGAAGACGACGACGUUGAUAGGCCGGGUGUGUAAGCGCAGCGAUGCGUUGAGCUAACCGGUACUAAUGAACCGUGAGGCUUAACCUU